UCGUGGAGCUCCGGCUCCUUCGAGGGAGAACCCUUGCCUUUUCGAGCACCUGUUUGUUUCCUCGGCAGGCCCGCCUGCCAAUGGGGACCCCUUUAAACUCUCGCAAUAACCUGUAUGAGAUCGUCUGAACAAAACAAACAAAUCA
This 145-nucleotide unclassified non-coding RNA is filed under the name soil metagenome. RNAcentral's name for it is "partial internal transcribed spacer 1". The record is from RNAcentral.